Molecule: non-coding RNA, 54 nt
Organism: Salmo salar (Atlantic salmon)
Lineage: Eukaryota; Metazoa; Chordata; Actinopteri; Salmoniformes; Salmonidae
Source: Rfam
CAGUUACAGUCUUGUAAGUCGCUCUGGAUAAGAGCGUCUGCUAAAUGACUUAAA